RNAcentral lists this ribosomal RNA (253 nucleotides) under uncultured bacterium. RNAcentral describes it as "partial 16S ribosomal RNA". It matches the Rfam family "Bacterial small subunit ribosomal RNA", at positions 524 to 776 of the family's 1533-position model. The record is from RNAcentral.
UACGGAGGGUGCAAGCGUUGUUCGGAAUUACUGGGCGUAAAGCGCGUGUAGGCGGACCUAUAAGUCAGAUGUGAAAGCCCUGGGCUCAACCCAGGAAGUGCAUCUGAUACUGUAGGCCUUGAGUCCCGGAGAGGGUUGUGGAAUUCCCGGUGUAGAGGUGAAAUUCGUAGAUAUCGGGAGGAACACCAGUGGCGAAGGCGACAACCUGGACGAGGACUGACGCUGAGACGCGAAAGCGUGGGGAGCAAACAGG